CUGUGAGCUCGAUGAGUAGGGCGGGACACGUGGUAUCCUGUCUGAAUAUGGGGGGACCAUCCUCCAAGGCUAAAUACUCCUGACUGACCGAUAGUGAACCAGUACCGUGAGGGAAAGGCGAAAAGAACCCCGGCGAGGGGAGUGAAAAAGAACCUGAAACCGUGUACGUACAAGCAGUGGGAGCCUCUUAAUGGGGUGACUGCGUACCUUUUGUAUAAUGGGUCAGCGACUUAUAUUCUGUAGCAAGGUUAACCGAAUAGGGGAGCCGAAGGGAAACCGAGUCUUAACUGGGCGUUAAGUUGCAGGGUAUAGACCCGAAACCCGGUGAUCUAGCCAUGGGCAGGUUGAAGGUUGGGUAACACUAACUGGAGGACCGAACCGACUAAUGUUGAAAAAUUAGCGGAUGACUUGUGGCUGGGGGUGAAAGGCCAAUCAAACCGGGAGAUAGCUGGUUCUCCCCGAAAGCUAUUUAGGUAGCGCCUCGUGAAUUCAUCUCCGGGGGUAGAGCACUGUUUCGGCAAGGGGGUCAUCCCGACUUACCAACCCGAUGCAAACUGCGAAUACCGGAGAAUGUUAUCACGGGAGACACACGGCGGGUGCUAACGUCCGUCGUGAAGAGGGAAACAACCCAGACCGCCAGCUAAGGUCCCAAAGUCAUGGUUAAGUGGGAAACGAUGUGGGAAGGCCCAGACAGCCAGGAUGUUGGCUUAGAAGCAGCCAUCAUUUAAAGAAAGCGUAAUAGCUCACUGGUCGAGUCGGCCUGCGCGGAAGAUGUAACGGGGCUAAACCAUGCACCGAAGCUGCGGCAGCGACACUAUGUGUUGUUGGGUAGGGGAGCGUUCUGUAAGCCUGUGAAGGUGUACUGUGAGGUAUGCUGGAGGUAUCAGAAGUGCGAAUGCUGACAUAAGUAACGAUAAAGCGGGUGAAAAGCCCGCUCGCCGGAAGACCAAGGGUUCCUGUCCAACGUUAAUCGGGGCAGGGUGAGUCGACCCCUAAGGCGAGGCCGAAAGGCGUAGUCGAUGGGAAACAGGUUAAUAUUCCUGUACUUGGUGUUACUGCGAAGGGGGGACGGAGAAGGCUAUGUUGGCCGGGCGACGGUUGUCCCGGUUUAAGCGUGUAGGCUGGUUUUCCAGGCAAAUCCGGAAAAUCAAGGCUGAGGCGUGAUGACGAGGCACUACGGUGCUGAAGCAACAAAUGCCCUGCUUCCAGGAAAAGCCUCUAAGCAUCAGGUAACAUCAAAUCGUACCCCAAACCGACACAGGUGGUCAGGUAGAGAAUACCAAGGCGCUUGAGAGAACUCGGGUGAAGGAACUAGGCAAAAUGGUGCCGUAACUUCGGGAGAAGGCACGCUGAUAUGUAGGUGAAGUCCCUCGCGGAUGGAGCUGAAAUCAGUCGAAGAUACCAGCUGGCUGCAACUGUUUAUUAAAAACACAGCACUGUGCAAACACGAAAGUGGACGUAUACGGUGUGACGCCUGCCCGGUGCCGGAAGGUUAAUUGAUGGGGUUAGCGGUAACGCGAAGCUCUUGAUCGAAGCCCCGGUAAACGGCGGCCGUAACUAUAACGGUCCUAAGGUAGCGAAAUUCCUUGUCGGGUAAGUUCCGACCUGCACGAAUGGCGUAAUGAUGGCCAGGCUGUCUCCACCCGAGACUCAGUGAAAUUGAACUCGCUGUGAAGAUGCAGUGUACCCGCGGCAAGACGGAAAGACCCCGUGAACCUUUACUAUAGCUUGACACUGAACAUUGAGCCUUGAUGUGUAGGAUAGGUGGGAGGCUUUGAAGUGUGGACGCCAGUCUGCAUGGAGCCGGCCUUGAAAUACCACCCUUUAAUGUUUGAUGUUCUAACGUUGGCCCCUGAUCGGGGUUGCGGACAGUGUCUGGUGGGUAGUUUGACUGGGGCGGUCUCCUCCUAAAGAGUAACGGAGGAGCACGAAGGUUGGCUAAUCCUGGUCGGACAUCAGGAGGUUAGUGCAAUGGCAUAAGCCAGCUUGACUGCGAGCGUGACGGCGCGAGCAGGUGCGAAAGCAGGUCAUAGUGAUCCGGUGGUUCUGAAUGGAAGGGCCAUCGCUCAACGGAUAAAAGGUACUCCGGGGAUAACAGGCUGAUACCGCCCAAGAGUUCAUAUCGACGGCGGUGUUUGGCACCUCGAUGUCGGCUCAUCACAUCCUGGGGCUGAAGUAGGUCCCAAGGGUAUGGCUGUUCGCCAUUUAAAGUGGUACGCGAGCUGGGUUUAGAACGUCGUGAGACAGUUCGGUCCCUAUCUGCCGUGGGCGCUGGAGAACUGAGGGGGGCUGCUCCUAGUACGAGAGGACCGGAGUGGACGCAUCACUGGUGUUCGGGUUGUCAUGCCAAUGGCACUGCCCGGUAGCUAAAUGCGGAAGAGAUAAGUGCUGAAAGCAUCUAAGCACGAAACUUGCCCCGAGAUGAGUUCUCCCUGACUCCUUGAGGGUCCUGAAGGAACGUUGAAGACGACGACGUUGAUAGGCCGGGUGUGUAAGCGCAGCGAUGCGUUGAGCUAACCGGUACUAAUGAACCGUGAGGCUUAACCUUACAACGCCGAAG
RNAcentral lists this ribosomal RNA (2560 nucleotides) under Escherichia coli. RNAcentral describes it as "partial 23S ribosomal RNA". It matches the Rfam family "Bacterial large subunit ribosomal RNA", at positions 397 to 2925 of the family's 2925-position model. Lineage: Bacteria; Pseudomonadati; Pseudomonadota; Gammaproteobacteria; Enterobacterales; Enterobacteriaceae. The record is from RNAcentral.